UACGUAGGUGGCAAGCGUUAUCCGGAUUUACUGGGUGUAAAGAGCAUGUAGGCGGGAAUGCAAGUCAGAUGUGAAAUUUGAGGGCUCAACCCUUAAGCUGCAUCUGAAACUGUGUUUCUUGAGUACUGGAGAGGAAAGUGGAAUUCCUAGUGUAGCGGUGAAAUGCGUAGAUAUCAGAAGGAACACCGGUGGCGAAAGCGACUCUCUGGCUCGUUUCUGACGCUGAGGUGCGAAAGCUAGGGUAGCGAACGGG
This 253-nucleotide ribosomal RNA is filed under the name uncultured bacterium. Its description in RNAcentral is "partial 16S ribosomal RNA". It matches the Rfam family "Bacterial small subunit ribosomal RNA", at positions 524 to 776 of the family's 1533-position model. The record is from RNAcentral.